This 198-nucleotide ribosomal RNA is filed under the name Triticum aestivum (bread wheat). RNAcentral describes it as "partial small subunit ribosomal RNA". The record is from RNAcentral. Lineage: Eukaryota; Viridiplantae; Streptophyta; Magnoliopsida; Poales; Poaceae.
AUGGCAGAGGAGGGGCUUGUGCACGGGAGGGAGCAGCAAGGCGGCACUGGAGGGAGGAGGCGCUGGACUUGGGCUCCGGUGGGAGGGAGGAGGAGGCACAAGAGCGCGGCGGACGAGCGGGAGGUUCGCGGGGUCUCGGGCGCGGCAUGCAGAGGAGGUAGCGGCGCGGAGGAUGUAGGAGGGAAGGACGAGGCGUGA